AUCUCCUGUUUCUGGGACAUCGAUGUUACACAGAGAUUUUUCUCGACGGGUGAAAACAAUUUUGGGAGCACUCACCGUGUGCCAGGCACCGGCUAAACCUCGGAGAAUAAUGAACGUUGAGUCGCACAUCGGAGUGCAGCAAGGUCCUGGGACAGAGGAGAGAGAAGGGGAUUUCCGAAUUCUUCCUGAACAUUCCUGAUCAUCUCCGGGAAGCAGGCUUGCAGAUAAGUAUUUCAACUUACCAGCCCACAGCCUACCCACCUGCCCUCCCUCGGUCUGUGCAGGGAAGCGCAGAACUUCAGAAUUCCCGUGCGGGAGGUUAAAGGGGUGAUCAGCUUUUCUAGCCCUCUAAGUUACAAACAAAGACCUUGUCUGCAUUUCAUGGGGCCCCAGAGAGGGUGAUCGUCACACCCCUCUUUAACACGGAGGCUAGAAUUUUGUCAAUUCCACCAUCAGCAACUACCAUAGACUUGAGUUCAAUGACCUCAUCCCGAGAACCCAUGGAUCUAGGUGUCAGAAGGUCAGAAGGGGACUGGGGACUCCUGGUGGCUCUUCUCAGUGCUGGCCCUUUGUCGUCAUAUUUGUAAAACUUGGCCCAGGGCUCCUUUACCUGGCAGUGGAGCAGGGACAUUGGCACUGUGACUCUAGGGCCGUAUUCUUUCCUCCAGGUCUGGACCCGUGCCCUGAGUCCCAGGGGCCCAGAGCAAGCUCUGAACACACACUGAGAGGCGCCCUGACUCUCCUGGCCCAGCCCUGCCAGCCAGUGAAGAUAGCUUAGCCGUCACCAGAACUAAAACCGAGAGAGGAUUCUGGGUCAGGAUUAGCAGGCAUUCAAUGGGGGCAGAAAAGUAUCUAAGGCUGAGCCAUAGGGCCCCCCUAUUUCCUCUCCUCUGCUUCACACUGUGGGUUAGUAUUGUGUGCUCUGGGUGAACGCAGGUCUGGAAGGAUCCCAGGGCACAGAGAGAGAGAGAGAGAGAGGGACAGACUUCCCAGGGCUACACAGGACGGCUGAGCUGGAUCAGAACCCCGGAUUCCUGACUCUGUUCACUGCUUCUGCUCAGCUGUUGCCAAGCUGAAUUUGUCUUACAUUGUCCUGGGGCCCCUUCUGCUAUUGUUGGGGAACAGGGAGGGGGGUGAGGGAGACCCCCUUAUCCCAAGGACAUUCUGGGGUGGGAG
RNAcentral lists this long non-coding RNA (1176 nucleotides) under Ursus americanus (American black bear). Its description in RNAcentral is "lncRNA (ENSUAMG00000003245.1)". The record is from RNAcentral. Lineage: Eukaryota; Metazoa; Chordata; Mammalia; Carnivora; Ursidae.